Molecule: ribosomal RNA, 442 nt
Filed under: uncultured bacterium
Lineage: Bacteria
Description: partial 16S ribosomal RNA
Rfam family: Bacterial small subunit ribosomal RNA
Source: RNAcentral
CCUACGGGGGGCAGCAGUAGGGAAUCUUUCACAAUGGGCGAAAGCCUGAUGGAGCAACGCCGCGUGCAGGAUGAAGGCCUUCGGGUUGUAAACUGCUUUUAUAAGCGAGAAAUAUGAUGGUAACUUAUGAAUAAGGAUCGGCUAACUACGUUCCAGCAGCCGCGGUCAUACGUAGGAUCCGAGCAUUAUCCGGAGUGACUGGGUGUAAAGAGUUGCGUAGGCGGCAUAAUAAGUAGCUAGUGAAAUCUGGUGGCUCAACCAUUCAGACUAUUAGCUAAACUGUUAAGCUCGAGACCGUUAGGGGUAACUGGAAUUUCUAGUGUAGGAGUGAAAUCCGUAGAUAUUAGAAGGAACACCAAUAGCGUAGGCAGGUUGCUGGGACGGUUCUGACACUAAGGCACGAAAGCGUAGGGAGCAAACGGGAUUAGAUACCCCAGUAGUC